Molecule: ribosomal RNA, 489 nt
Filed under: uncultured bacterium
Lineage: Bacteria
Description: partial 16S ribosomal RNA
Rfam family: Bacterial small subunit ribosomal RNA
Source: RNAcentral
GAUGAACGCUAGCUACAGGCUUAACACAUGCAAGUCGAGGGGCAGCAUGAUUGAAGCUUGCUUCAAUCGAUGGCGACCGGCGCACGGGUGAGUAACACGUAUCCAACCUGCCGAUAACUCGGGGAUAGCCUUUCGAAAGAAAGAUUAAUACCCGAUAGUAUAGUAUUUCCGCAUGGUUUCACUAUUAAAGAACUUCGGUUAUCGAUGGGGAUGCGUUCCAUUAGAUAGUUGGCGGGGUAACGGCCCACCAAGUCAACGAUGGAUAGGGGUUCUGAGAGGAAGGUCCCCCACAGUGGAGCUGAGACACGGUCCAAACGCCUACGGGAGGCAGCAGUGAGGAAUAUUGGUCAAUGGACGAGAGUCUGAACCAGCCAAGUAGCGUGAAGGAUGACUGCCCUAUGGGUUGUAAACUUCUUUUAUACGGGAAUAAAGUGGAGUAUGCAUACUCCUUUGUAUGUACCGUAUGAAUAAGGAUCGGCUAACUCCGUG